Long non-coding RNA from Gallus gallus (chicken), 539 nucleotides. The record is from Ensembl. NCBI's taxonomy places the organism in Eukaryota, Metazoa, Chordata, Aves, Galliformes, Phasianidae.
AGCAGGCCCUGCUGCUGCGUGCCUGUGAGACCUCACAAGCGCAGGACAAGGAGGAUGCUGUGCUGUUCAGGGCACUCAAUUUGGAGAAAGAGCCUCCUGGAUUUCCAGCAGGGUGAUGCUGGAUGUGUCCUGCUUCACAUCUCACCCAUAGGAGACCUCAUUUUAGGGGCUGCAGGCAUAGGCACCAUCCUGGUCUUCUCCAGCCCCCGGCGCAGCUUCAUGCAGCAGAGCAGCGAGGCAAAACAACGGCUCCAGCAGCAGGCAGAGGAUAGCACCAGGCAGCAGAGAGCAGCCGUGAGUUCUACUCCUCUCAUCACUCCCCUACAUUCCCUGAAGACUCCUCUUGUCACCAUUGAUGGCUUUAGGUACAUCAGAGACUGUGAGGAGCACAGCUGUGGUGGCCAUCAAAGCCAUACUUUCUCCAGCAUGGGAAGCUGCAAGAAGACAAGAAGGAGGCAGAGAUAAGGGAAUGCUUCACUCAUGAGGGUCUCAAAGCACCAGGGAACGGUUAUGGUCUGGAAGAACCAUAUAACAAGAGU